This is a non-coding RNA of Paramuricea clavata, 213 nucleotides long. NCBI's taxonomy places the organism in Eukaryota, Metazoa, Cnidaria, Anthozoa, Malacalcyonacea, Plexauridae. The record is from the annotation of a GenBank genome assembly.
CCAUUUCAGUACUUUUAAAUUUACUGAUGACCCAAGUAUUAUAGUAAUAAAUUUAUGUUAUGUCAACAGUUGAGUCUAUAUUUAUGCGUCUAAAUUAUCAAUGAAUCAUAUUGCUGCAUGAACUCUCCUCUGCAGGGCCCCACAUACACAUUGCAUGUCAUUUAUUCGAUCACAUUUGCCACGAGAAAAAUCGCCGACAGAAUUGCUAUAGUG